GAUGAAGAACGCAGCGAAAUGCGAUAAGUAAUGUGAAUUGCAGAAUUCAGUGAAUCAUCGAAUCUUUGAACGCACCUUGCGCCCCUUGGUUAUUCCAAAGGGCAUGCCUGUUUGAGUAUCAUGAACACCUCAACUCUUGUGGUUUCCCACAAUGAGCUUGGACUGUGGAGGUUUUGUUGGCCCUGUGGUCAGCUCCUCUCAAAUGGAUCAGCUUACCGGUGUUUGGUGGCAUUACGGGUGUGAUAACUAUCUACGCUCGUGGUCGUCUACAAAUAACCUCCAGUGAUGGAGGUUCGCUGGAGCUUAUAAAUGUCUCUCCCCAGUGAAGACAGCCUUUGAACGUUCGAUCUCAAAUCAGGUAGGACUACCCGCUGAACUUAAGCAUAUCAAUAAGCGGAGGA
This 401-nucleotide unclassified non-coding RNA is filed under the name soil metagenome. RNAcentral describes it as "partial contains 5.8S ribosomal RNA, internal transcribed spacer 2, and large subunit ribosomal RNA". The stretch from base 1 to 121 matches the Rfam family "5.8S ribosomal RNA", at positions 35 to 154 of the family's 154-position model. The record is from RNAcentral.